UCCCUGGUGGUCCAGUGGUUAGGACUCGUCACUUUAACUAUGGUGGCCCAGGUUCAAUUCCUGGUGAGGGAA
RNAcentral lists this transfer RNA (72 nucleotides) under Bos taurus (domestic cattle). It matches the Rfam family "tRNA". Rfam says of the family: Transfer RNA (tRNA) molecules are approximately 80 nucleotides in length. RNAcentral also lists the same sequence under 3 other names. Lineage: Eukaryota; Metazoa; Chordata; Mammalia; Artiodactyla; Bovidae. The record is from Rfam by way of RNAcentral.